This 298-nucleotide signal recognition particle RNA is filed under the name Cebus imitator (Panamanian white-faced capuchin). RNAcentral describes it as "Metazoan signal recognition particle RNA (ENSCCAG00000002031.1)". It matches the Rfam family "Metazoan signal recognition particle RNA". Rfam says of the family: The signal recognition particle (SRP) is a universally conserved ribonucleoprotein. It is involved in the co-translational targeting of proteins to membranes. Lineage: Eukaryota; Metazoa; Chordata; Mammalia; Primates; Cebidae. The record is from RNAcentral.
GCUGGGCACGAUGGCACGUGCCUGUAGUCCCAACUAUUCGGGAGAUUGAGGCUGGAGGAUCGCUUCAGUCCAAGAGUUCUGGGCUGUAGUGAGAUAUGCUGAUUGGGUGUCAGCACUAAGUUCAGCAUCAAUAUGGUGACCUCCCAGGAGCCGGGACCAUCAGGUUGCCUAAGGAGGGGUGAACCGGCCCAGGUCUGAAACGAAGCAGGUCAAAAUUCCCGUGCUGAUCAGUAGUGGGAUCGCACCUGUGAAUAGCCACCGCACUCCAGCCUGGGCAACAUGGUGAGACCCCGUUUCU